UACAGCCACAGCACUUUGAAGCACCGGUCCCCGUACGGUCACCGAAGUUAAGCAACGUUGAGCCUUCUUGGUACAUAAAUGAAUGACCGCUUGGGAAUACCAGGUGCUGUAA
Molecule: non-coding RNA, 112 nt
Organism: Acanthosepion pharaonis
Lineage: Eukaryota; Metazoa; Mollusca; Cephalopoda; Sepiida; Sepiidae
Source: the annotation of a GenBank genome assembly